This 384-nucleotide ribosomal RNA is filed under the name uncultured bacterium. RNAcentral's name for it is "bacterial SSU rRNA". It matches the Rfam family "Bacterial small subunit ribosomal RNA", at positions 30 to 412 of the family's 1533-position model. The record is from RNAcentral.
AUUGAACGCUGGCGGAAUGCUUUACACAUGCAAGUCGAACGGCAGCACGGGUGCUUGCACCUGGUGGCGAGUGGCGAACGGGUGAGUAAUGCACCGGAACGUAUCCAAUAAUGGGGGAUAACGCACCGAAAGGUGUGCUAAUACCGCAUACGCCCUGAGGGGGAAAGCGGGGGAUCGUAAGACCUCGCGUUAAUGGAGCGGCCGAUGCCGGAUUAGCUAGUUGGUGAGGUAAAGGCUCACCAAGGCGACGAUCUGUAGCUGGUCUGAGAGGACGACCAGCCACACUGGAACUGAGACACGGUCCAGACUCCUACGGGAGGCAGCAGUGGGGAAUUUUGGACAAUGGGCGCAAGCCUGAUCCAGCCAUUCCGCGUGAGUGAAGAA